UGAGGAAUAUUGGUCAAUGGUCGCAAGACUGAACCAGCCAUGCCGCGUGCAGGAUGACGGUCCUAUGGAUUGUAAACUGCUUUUGUACGGGAAGAAACACUCCUACGUGUAGGGGCUUGACGGUACCGUAAGAAUAAGGAUCGGCUAACUCCGUGCCAGCAGCCGCGGUAAUAAUCA
This 177-nucleotide ribosomal RNA is filed under the name uncultured Flexibacteraceae bacterium. RNAcentral describes it as "partial 16S ribosomal RNA". It matches the Rfam family "Bacterial small subunit ribosomal RNA", at positions 355 to 527 of the family's 1533-position model. Lineage: Bacteria; Pseudomonadati; Bacteroidota; Cytophagia; Cytophagales; Cytophagaceae. The record is from RNAcentral.